Carassius gibelio (silver crucian carp) is the source of this 444-nucleotide long non-coding RNA. RefSeq lists it as uncharacterized. The record is from RefSeq and is a predicted model, not a curated record. Lineage: Eukaryota; Metazoa; Chordata; Actinopteri; Cypriniformes; Cyprinidae. The transcript has 2 exons.
AUGAAAAUUGUAGAGUCACACUGAAGGCAUCAAGGGCUAUUUGAGCAAGAAGGAGAGUGAUGGGGUGCUGCGCCAGAUGAUCUGGCCCCCACAGUCACCGGACCUGAACCCAAUCGAGAUGGUUUAGGGGUGAGCUGGACCGCAGACGGAAGGCUAAAGGGCCAACAAGUGCUAAGCAUCUCUCGGGGAACUCCUUCAAGACUGUUGGAAGACCAUUUCAGGUGACUACCUCUUGAAGCUCAUCAAGAGAAUGCCAAGAGUGUGCAAAGCAGUAAUCAAAGCAAAAGAACCUAGAAUAUGACAUAUUUUCAGUUGUUUCACACUUUUUUGUUAUGUAUAUAAUUCCAUAUAUAAUUCCACAUGUGUUAAUUCAUAGUUUUGAUGCCUUCAGUGUGAAUCUACAAUUUUCAGUCAUGAAAAUAAAGAAAACUCUUUGAAUGAGAA